GGGAGGGGGCUCAGAACGAGAAUUACAACUCUUGGAGGAACUAGGAGGGGACCGAUCCCCCUCGCUAAUGGAGAUGUGGGAAGGGGAACCCGUAGGAAGGCUGUCAACCCUACUAGCCCCAACUUUACGUCGCUUCAUCGGGGGUCCCGUGUGUUUCUUACCCAUCUACUUUCCCCCAACAACACAUCCACAAGCCCCCAACGACACAUCCAGCAAACCACACGUUUCCCAAACAGCAACAUGUCCAUACCAAGCACCAUCCACCACACAUCAACCACCAAAUGCAAACACCAACCAACAAAAAAAAAAAAAAAACAAACAAACACAACAAAAACCAAAAAUAAAUUUUUCUCAAAGUAUGCAAAAUAGAGCCACUGUAAAUGCGCCAAAGGAGGAGAAAUGAUGAGGGAUACCUAUGGUUCACCAACUCAGUAGAUCGGGAUUGAAAAUCGUGGCAAGACGAAGCUGCAGGCAACCAAAAACAGUGAGUAAAAAUAUGCAAGUAUAAAAAUACAAAAUAAAGCUUAUAUAUCUGUAAUUAUUUAUAAAUAAAUGAAUAAAUAAAAUGAAGAGCGAAGAAGCUGCAGCAACCGACGUCGGCUGUCAUGGCUGCAACCACCGAGAACCGACGCCGGAGAUCACGGGAAGGAUGCCGGAAACCACCAAAGGAGGACGCCGGCCAAAAAAAAAAAAAAAAAGAGAAAACGAAGAACAGAGAAGACAACACGGAGGGGGGACUGCAGUCACCAAACCGACGCCGGCUGUCGCGGCUGCAACCACCAAACCGACGCCGGCUGUCGCGGCUGCCACCACCAAACCGACGUCAGAAAUCACAGAGAAAAACACCAAGCCGAAACGAAAAGAGAAGAAAAGGGAAGGAAGAGAGAAAGCACCAAGGGAAAAAUGAAGAAACGAUGAAGGAGGGGUUACCGUGUGUAUCGCCGGACUGAGAUCUCGCCGUGAGCCGCCGGAAAUCGCCUUGAACCGACCAGAUCUGGAGCCCAAAACCGCCACUGCAGCAGCCGAGAUCCACGCCGGAAAACGUACCAGAUCAACGCCGGCCGAGAGAGAAAGAGAAAGAAGAAAGAAAGAAAAGGAAGAAGGAAAAGAGAGAAAAAGGAAGGAGAAACGUGAGAAAGAAAAGGGAGAAAGAAAAUGGGAAAGAAAUAAAAGAAAAAGAGUAAAGGGAGAGUAAAGCCUAGGGAAGAUGAACAAGGCUAAAAAAAAAAAAAAAAAAAAAAAAA
RNAcentral lists this long non-coding RNA (1244 nucleotides) under Citrus maxima (pomelo). Its description in RNAcentral is "long non-coding RNA (CMAX_LNC001390)". Lineage: Eukaryota; Viridiplantae; Streptophyta; Magnoliopsida; Sapindales; Rutaceae. The record is from RNAcentral.